GCUAAGGGCACGUACAGCGGGUCUUUUUGCCCCGUCUCUGUGAUGUCUUUUAUGCAAAAAACCCCCCGGUUGAGUCAAGCGACGGGAGCUGCGUCCUCUCGCGAGGCGAUGGCGACGACCCGUGCUCCGAGGCGGAAGAGGCAAGCUCAGCACCGUUGUACGAGCUCGUCGUCCCGAGGCGACGGCGCGGCAGGAUCCCGCGCGGAGAGCGCGCGCGCGGGAAAUUUCCCCGCGAAAUCCAGGUUCGUCCAACUCCCCUCCCACUCCCCCAAUCCGGGAAAUUUGCUCCAGCAUAUAGCGCAGCAAUCUCUCCCAAUCUCCCACUCCCCCAAUCUCCAACUCCCCUCGCUUGAUUUGGGUGCUGCUGAGAUGUCCACGGCGGCUGCAGGUAGGAAGAAGAAGGGAGGCACACCUGAGGCCUCGGAUGCGGCGGCGGCAGCCCCAGCUCGUUUGGAAAAGGCAUUCUACAAUUUAAUUACUUGACUCUAAAUUUUUUUGCAUCAUGCAGCAUUUUAUCCUAAUGAUAUUGAGGUUAUAUUCAACUUUUGAGAGAAAUAAAAAUCUGAUGGUUGUUUAUAUUAUGAAUUGAUUGUGGAUUGGAUGAAGCUAUCUCUAGAUGUUACUCUGUUUAUACUACCUGAUUAUUAAUGUCAGUAAUCCCUUCCUUUGUUAUAUGGUUACAGUAGUUAGCUAGAACCCUGUAACUGAAAUGAACUAGCUGCCAUGAGAUAAUUCGCAAAAGCGAGCCAAACUCAAAUGCAGAGAUUUAGUUAGCUAGAACCCUGUAACUGAAAUGAACUAGCUUGUUCAGUGAUACACUAUACUACUGAUAUGGAGUAUAUAUAAUCUAGGGAAAAAGAUGAGCAUAUUAGCCUUUUAUUGCAUUCCUUUUCUUUUUGUACUCUCUCUAUACAUAUAUGUCUCUAUACAUAUAUAAUCUAGGGAAAAAGAUGAGUAUAUAUAAUCUUUCAGCAGGUUCAGUGUAUGUCUCUAUACAUAUACUUUGAUGAGAAUCUGCAAAUGAUCAGAAAGGGGAAAUUUAGGAAAUAAAUUCAGAGCUUGAUCAUUGGAGGUAUAUACUGGGAGCUAAAUAUUGAUUUGAUUGUGGUCAUGGCUGGGAGGUAUACAUCCUGGUAGAUAUAUACAUCCUGUGAGGUCAGUUGGAAUGCCGAGAGGUCUCAUUCAGUUUCAGUUUCUGAAUUAAUGUGAAUGUGAUUUGUAAAUGCGAAUGUGCACUUCAGUUUCUGUUGGAAUGUGAAUGUGCAUGCUUCAGGUUCAGUUGUUGCAAUGUGAAUGUGCAUGCUUCAGUUUCAGUUUCUGUUGGAGUGCCGAGAGGACUAAUUUGCUUAUGUGAAUGUGAAUGUACCCUUCAGUUUCUUUCUGGAAUGUGAAUGUGC
This 1397-nucleotide long non-coding RNA is filed under the name Oryza sativa (Asian cultivated rice). RNAcentral describes it as "long non-coding RNA (OSAT_LNC001031)". Lineage: Eukaryota; Viridiplantae; Streptophyta; Magnoliopsida; Poales; Poaceae. The record is from RNAcentral.